AGCUGUGUGGCCUAAGGGCGAAGGUGUUUGAUGGCAGCUCAGAAGAUUGCAGGUUUGAGUCCUGCCACAGCUG
RNAcentral lists this transfer RNA (73 nucleotides) under Chelonia mydas (Green sea turtle). It matches the Rfam family "tRNA". From Rfam's summary of the family: Transfer RNA (tRNA) molecules are approximately 80 nucleotides in length. The record is from Rfam by way of RNAcentral. Lineage: Eukaryota; Metazoa; Chordata; Testudines; Cheloniidae.